AAGUCGUAACAAGGUUUCCGUAGGUGAACCUGCGGAAGGAUCAUUAUUGAUUUUGACCUCCGGGUCUUUAUUAUCCAUACCCCUGUGAACCUGUCGGCCUCCGGGCCCAUUUCCAAACACUGUGUAAUGAACGUGAUGUAUCUUAACAAGUAAAA
Molecule: unclassified non-coding RNA, 155 nt
Filed under: plant metagenome
Description: partial contains small subunit ribosomal RNA and internal transcribed spacer 1
Rfam family: Eukaryotic small subunit ribosomal RNA (bases 1-46)
Source: RNAcentral